GAUGAACGCUCGCGGUAGGCCUAACACAUGCAAGCCGAGCGGUAUUGUUUCUUCGGCAAUGAGAGAGCGGCGUACGGGUGCGUAACACGUGUGCAACCUGCCUUUAUCUGGGGGAUAGCCUUUCGAAAGGAAGAUUAAUACUCCAUAAUAUAUUGAACGGCAUCGUUUAAUAUUGAAAGCUCCGGCGGAUAGAGAUGGGCACGCGCAAGAUUAGCUAGUUGGUGAGGUAACGGCUCACCAAGGCGAUGAUCUUUAGGGGGCCUGAGAGGGUGAUCCCCCACACUGGUACUGAGACACGGACCAGACUACGACGGGAGGCAGCAGUGAGGAAUAUUGGUCAAUGGGUGCAAGCCUGAACCAGCCAUCCCGCGUGAAGGACGACUGCCCUAUGGGUUGUAAACUUCUUUUGUAGAGGGAUAAACCGACCCUAGAGAGGGUAGCUGAAGGUACUAUACGAAUAAGCACCGGCUAACUCCGUG
RNAcentral lists this ribosomal RNA (479 nucleotides) under uncultured bacterium. RNAcentral's name for it is "partial 16S ribosomal RNA". It matches the Rfam family "Bacterial small subunit ribosomal RNA", at positions 28 to 507 of the family's 1533-position model. The record is from RNAcentral.